Molecule: long non-coding RNA, 632 nt
Filed under: Equus caballus (horse)
Lineage: Eukaryota; Metazoa; Chordata; Mammalia; Perissodactyla; Equidae
Description: lncRNA (ENSECAG00000054038.1)
Source: RNAcentral
CCAGGCCGGUUGAGACCACCAACUCAUCAACUGGGUCUGUGCAGAUGUCCGAUAGGCGACCUUUUGACGUCAAGAGGCUAAAAACUCCACCCUCAGAUCAUGCUAAUGCCGCCAUUUUGUGAACAUGGGUCCUGUGAAGAGACAUGGAGUCUGACUACGCUUGCGCACAUCAUCAGUUACCUCACCCCUCCCCACCUCCAAUCACCUCUCUCCACAGUUCAGACCACCUUGCCCCCAUCCCGUAAAUAUCCCUGAGUCCCUAUUUUCGGGGAAGCAAAUUUGAGGCUCAUGCUCUCGCUUCUUCGCAUGGCUGCCUUGAUGCCUACAGAAGAUUCAAAGACACAGUGAAAUGGUCAAAGUCAUCUUCUAGGAGAAGGCUCUAAAAUGACACCUCUGGUGCCAAGACACUAACAAGAUCGCCCCCAGAAUUCUCCUUUCUUCAUCAUCCAGAAAGAUUCACGAUGGUGAAAGUUGCCCCAUGCAGCAGCUGAAAGAUGCCCAAUUACCUUCUGUGAGAGUCAAAGCUUUUGGAAGAAAUGAGCAGCAAAUAUUUUGACCUGGGGUCAAAGAACCAGGACAUCCUUGGAAACACACAGUGCUGCUUUGGAUCUCAACUUAACGACGUGUCAGCU